UCGGGAAUAUUGGACAAUGGGCGAAAGCCUGAUCCAGCAACGCCGCGUGCGGGACGAAGGCCCUCGGGUCGUAAACCGCUGUCAGGAGGGAGGAACGGUGCGUGGUUAAGAGCUGCGUACUUUGACAGUACCUCCAGAGGAAGCCCCGGCUAACUCCGUGCCAGCAGCCGCGGUAAUACGGAGGGGGCGAGCGUUGUUCGGAAUUACUGGGCGUAAAGCGCGCGUAGGCGGACUGAUCAGUCAGGGGUGAAAUCCCGGGGCUCAACCCCGGAACUGCCUUUGAUACUGUCAGUCUUGAGUCCGGAAGAGGCGAGUGGAAUACCGAGUGUAGAGGUGAAAUUCGUAGAUAUUCGGUGGAACACCAGUGGCGAAGGCGACUCGCUGGUCCGGUACUGACGCUGAGGUGCGAAAGCGUGGGGAGCAAAACAGGGAUUAGAUACCCAUGGUAGUCCACGCCGUAAACGAUGAGUGCUAGUCGUCGGCAGGCAUGCCUGUCGGUGACGCAGCUAACGCAUUAAGCAC
RNAcentral lists this ribosomal RNA (522 nucleotides) under uncultured bacterium. Its description in RNAcentral is "bacterial SSU rRNA". It matches the Rfam family "Bacterial small subunit ribosomal RNA", at positions 355 to 867 of the family's 1533-position model. The record is from RNAcentral.